Molecule: ribosomal RNA, 446 nt
Filed under: uncultured bacterium
Lineage: Bacteria
Description: bacterial SSU rRNA
Rfam family: Bacterial small subunit ribosomal RNA
Source: RNAcentral
GUGGGGAAUAUUGCGCAAUGGGCGAAAGCCUGACGCAGCCACGCCGCGUGAGCGAUGAAGGUCUUCGGAUCGUAAAGCUCUGUGGGGAGAGAAGAAGAAAGCCAGUGAAGAGCUGGCCAUGACGGUAUCUCCUUAGCAAGCACCGGCUAACUCUGUGCCAGCAGCCGCGGUAAUACAGAGGGUGCAAACGUUGCUCGGAAUUAUUGGGCGUAAAGCGCACGUAGGCGGUUUGGUAAGUUGGAUGUGAAAACCCUGGGCUCAACCCUGGAAGUGCAUACAAGACUGCCAAGCUAGAGUAUCGGAGGGGGUCGGAGAAUUCCCGGUGUAGAGGUGAAAUUCGUAGAUAUCGGGAGGAACAUCUGUGGCGAAGGCGCCGACCUGGACGAAAACUGACGCUGAGGUGCGAAAGCAUGGGGAGCAAACAGGAUUAGAUACCCGUGUAGUCC